UCCAUGCCCCCUGCAACCCACC
RNAcentral lists this unclassified non-coding RNA (22 nucleotides) under Mus musculus (house mouse). RNAcentral describes it as "oocyte_clustered_small_RNA7251". The record is from RNAcentral. Lineage: Eukaryota; Metazoa; Chordata; Mammalia; Rodentia; Muridae.